Molecule: unclassified non-coding RNA, 370 nt
Filed under: Hevea brasiliensis (rubber tree)
Lineage: Eukaryota; Viridiplantae; Streptophyta; Magnoliopsida; Malpighiales; Euphorbiaceae
Source: RNAcentral
GAGAGAGAGAGAGAGAGAAUUUGAGAAAGCUUGAAGAGAGUUUGAGAGAGUCAAGAAAAUGAAAAAGAAAAGGAAGAAAAGAUCUUUGAUUUUGAGCAACCAGAUGGAGAAGGGUACAAGCCAUGCUUGGAUUUCAAUAUUGAAACCGAAAGGCAUCUGUAAGGAUUUCAAAGGAGAAAAAGGAGAUUCUUGGUAGUAGUAGUAGUGUCUGGAGGAGUGAACCAACAGAGAAAUCAAAUUGUUGAUGCCGUUGUUAUUGCCAGAAUUCUUGAAGCAGCUCUAGUUGUGCCUGUUUUGCAGAUUAAUCUGAUUUGGGGCAAUGAUAGUGAAUUUUCUGAUAUUUUGAAUGUCGAACAUUUCAAGAGGAUUU